Ictalurus punctatus (channel catfish) is the source of this 1904-nucleotide long non-coding RNA. The record is from Ensembl. NCBI's taxonomy places the organism in Eukaryota, Metazoa, Chordata, Actinopteri, Siluriformes, Ictaluridae.
AAAAAAAUACGUCUCUGCAUAUUUCAGAGGUUACCUAGCUGCGUAAUUAUAUUUGCCAUUAGAAGACUGCACUGGAUUCCCCUUAUUGGUUUGAAAUUCCAUUAAAUAUAUUGCAAGAGCUCCCAGGUUAAGCUUGAUUUAAAUUUGCAUACAUUUUCAUACAUUUAGCAGAAAUAAAAGAAGGCUACCAGCCACCAGAAAGUCAUUAAAGACUGCAGUUUCUCUAAGGAGAGAGAUCAGGAGGAAAUACCGAGGAAGCUAACAGCCCCUAACAGAUACAAAGGAUACUGGACUGAGAAGAACCGCUCUGUAAUGGAUCUCUAUUCUCCAAACCACUCAGGCUAACUCUUUGAACAAUGUGAAGGACCAGAGCAGGAGGUGACAACAGUGCAAGAGUUUUGGUCCACACCUGCACUAGUUUUUGUGUGUGUGUGUGUGUGUGUGUGUGUAUUUAUAAAUCAACAGUUUCACAGAGUGAACACUUUUAGUAGCUGUUGAUGUCUUUAUAGUCCACUGAUCCUCACAUUUAUUACCAGGGUAUUUCAAGUCAGUCUUCACAAAUCCAAGUUCCCGGAGGCAUUUCCGAUAAAGAAAGGGUCUAUAAUAUUUGAAUUUUAUACUACUUUUUUUUUUUCUUCUUCUUUCUACUGUUUACACGUUCCCCAUGAACCACACUCAUUCCUUGACUGCAGUGUGAGUUCAAUGAGCUGCCUUUGUUGUAAACUUCAGUUGCUCUUACAGUAGAUUAUGAUUACAAGCUCUGCACAUCAAGCCUCGUUUGAUUUCUAGGAUGUUAUUUGGUUAGUCUCCAAAUGGUUGAAGAUCAUGCAAAACAAUUUUAAUAAAAAGAAAAGAAAAGAAAAAAAAACAACAACAAAAACUGUUAGGUGACCUAAACAUAUCGUUCAUUCAAGCUAACGUAGCUAGCUACUGUACAGUGGAUGUAAAAAUACGUUAUGUGAUGUGUAAAAGAAAAAAAAAGAAAAGAAAAAGAGAGAGAGAGAGCGUUAAUGUGGUCUAGUUAUAUAACUACCAGAAUUCCAGUUAAAAAUAAAAAGAAAUAUUUUCUGGAGGAAAAGAAAAUGAAAAAAAAAAUAAUAAAAAAUCUCCCAAAAAAACAACAACUAAAAUAACCUCAGUGCUCAAGUGUGCACACCCCUUAACUAAUAUGUCGUUACAGUACCUUUUUCUUGUAAUACCACGCUUGGUCUUUUUGUGGUAGGGUCUACCAAGUACCAGCAUACAUUGAUUCAGUAGUUUUAUUCCACUCUUCCUUAUAAAAAUGCUCCAGAUCUAUCAAAUUGCAAAGGGAUCUCCUGUGCACAGCCCUCUUCGAAUUAUUUCACAGAAUUUUUAUUUAUUUAUUUUUUCAAUGGGAUUGUUGACAUGGGGUUGUUCUCCAAAAAGGCUCUAUCAGACUAUACCACGUUUUGCCACAUGGUUUGGGGUGAUUUAUUCAGCCUUGGAUCUUUUACUUUGUGAGAAAUGGCUUCUGCCUAGCGUGCAGAUUAUGAGAGAUUGUUGUCACAUGCAGGGCGUGAUCAGUUCUUGCCAGAUAUUCCUGUAGCUCUUCUAAUGUUGCCAUAAGUCUCUUGGCAGCCUCCUUCUUCUUGUCCAUUAGUCUUUUUUUUUAUAUAGAGCUAUGUCUUGUUUUGGUAAUGCCCCUGGUCUGGGUGCCCCAAUUUUCUCCACUUGUUGAGGAUGGCCUUCGAUGUGUUCCACAGUACAGCAAAUGUUUUGGAACUUCUUUUUUUUUUUUUUUGCGCCUCUCCUGAUGAAUGACCUUUGACAUUGAGAUCACGCACAUGUCCUUUGUGGACAGUCCCAUGGGAGCAGCAAGAUAUCAAGACAAUCAUCCGGAAACAUUUUGAUCUUUAUUUGUAUGAAAGUUACUUUUGAACGAG